AAAUUAUCUUUUUUUACUCACUUCACACUUAUAAGAACACAUCACAAUUAUUCUUCCAGAUGUAGAAGAAGAAUUUCUGGGAUUUAGUGGAAUUUAGAAGAACAUGUGCCCCAAAGGAAAUAUUAGAAAUUGAGCCUGAAAUGAUCCAUAAGCACUUCCAAUGCAUGUUGGUGGUGAACCUUUUUCAGGACCUUGUGGGAAUGGAUGACAAAUGUUGGCAAAACUUGGGUCAGAAAGAUUACCAGUGUAGACAUAGCUUCAGUAAGAGCUAUGAGUAAAUUGAUGAAAACAAGAUAAAGUAACUUGCCCAGGGUCACACACCUAAUAAGAGAUUGACUUUCUGAGGUGUUAGAAUGACAACUGAAGUUGGAUCCAGAAGAGCUUUGAUUUUAAUUCCUGGCUCAAGAUUUUCUCAGUUUUGUGACCCUGGGUAAGUAAUUUAAAUGUCCUAAAUUCCAAUUCACUCUUCUGUAAAAUGGUAAUAAUAAUACAUAGAAUACGUACCAUGACCAUUUCUUAUUAAUAGAAAAUGAAAUAAUAUUCAUAAAGAUUUUUGUAGGCUUUAAUAAAUUAAGUUGGUUUGUCUUAUUUUUUGAACUU
RNAcentral lists this long non-coding RNA (600 nucleotides) under Monodelphis domestica (gray short-tailed opossum). Its description in RNAcentral is "lncRNA (ENSMODG00000044782.1)". Lineage: Eukaryota; Metazoa; Chordata; Mammalia; Didelphimorphia; Didelphidae. The record is from RNAcentral.